This 73-nucleotide transfer RNA is filed under the name Ictidomys tridecemlineatus (thirteen-lined ground squirrel). RNAcentral's name for it is "tRNA-Ser (ACT) (tRNA-Ser-ACT-2-1)". It matches the Rfam family "tRNA". Rfam says of the family: Transfer RNA (tRNA) molecules are approximately 80 nucleotides in length. Their secondary structure includes four short double-helical elements and three loops (D, anti-codon, and T loops). The record is from RNAcentral. Lineage: Eukaryota; Metazoa; Chordata; Mammalia; Rodentia; Sciuridae.
UGGGGUUGUGGCUCAGGGGUAGAGCACUCGCCUACUAUGCGUGAGGCACUGAGUUCGAUCCUCAGCACCUCAU